CUGCCUUUAUAAUUAGGUGUGAAAAGGUAGAGUUCAAAACUAAAAGUUCUCGUAAUGGCCGAGGAAAAUAGAGGGAGGGGAUACUGCCCGACAUACGGUGAAGGCAAUGACAGUCGUCAAUUAGAUGUGGCUAUAACGAUGGUAAACAAAGAAACACCAGAAAAUAAAAUUCCCUUGAUGCCAAAACAUUCUAAUGAUGCAGAGAAACCACACUGGAGGCAGUGGUGCAAUGAGAUUAAAAAGAAACGUAUAUAUGCAGUCCUCCUGUUUUUGAUUGUAGCCGCAGCUCUAUCCAUUCUAUUUUUGGUUCUUUUCGGGGAGGGUAUUUUUAAAAGCCUUUUCAAUAAAUGAAACACUAAAAUUAACAAAGCAGGACAUAACAUUUUCAUAUCUGUCUUGUUUAUCUCUUUUUUGCAGUUUAUGGCGGAUUAAUGUACUGUUAAAUUGUAUACAAUUGUAAUAUCUUUAUCACUGUAAACCACAGUUGUAAGAAAGAUAAACUGAUUUUGUGGCGAACGAUUUUCUAAACUGGGCCCUUUCAUAUACUGUUUAUCUUAUAUCAAUGGUCGUAUUUGUCACAUUAUCUUGAGUGGCAAAAUUUGCGAAUUUUCACCGCAUUUUUAUCAACUUUUUGUUAACACUAUUGUAUUAAUAUGUACCUUACAUUAUAUAUGCAUGUUUUGUUAACUCAAACCUGUUUGUUGAUGUCUCGAUUGCAAACUAUGCAUAUGAUGAAAACAAUCAUUUCGUGUUACCAAUAAUUCCUGCACACCACUCAAAAACAUCACAAAGCAGCAUGUUUCCUUUAUGACGUAUCAUUCUGUGUCAGUGAUGUUUUAAAAUAUGUUGACUUAUCACCAAAAAAACAACCACGGGAGCGUGUUUAUUACUUACUUGUGUUGAGUAAAACGAAUGAACUAAACAUCUAAUUUUCAUGCGUUUCUUUGCAUCAUUUACUAGAGCUAAAGGUCAAGAUUUUCUGUUGAAAUAAACGUACGAAUAUCUAACAUGAUUUAAGAUGUGAAAGGCUCUCAAUGACUGUACAGCUUGAUUAAAAGGUGACAUGGAAACAUUAUUUUCGAGACAUCAACCAUAAUGACAUACAUGUAAUGUGUCUAGCACAAAAAAUACAUUCUAAACCAACUUAACUAGAUAUGAUGUGUCAAGUAUUUAUUUUGCUGUUCAAUGAUUAAAUAGUUCAGGUAACUGUUUCAUAUUACUUGUUUUUUAAUUUGUUUUAAUACGUCAUUCAUAUAUAGUUAACUUUUUGUUUGGUUUUGUUUGUAUUUUCCUUCUUUAUACCAUUAAUUGAAUGCAGAUUUCCGCUAUAAACAGCAAUAUUUCUAAUUGUAAACGUGAAUGCAAUUUUGUAUACUACGAAAAUAUAGCCAGUACGAAUUUUAAUGAUUCCACAGUAUAUGAGAGUGUUACCAAAGUUUUAAAGAGCUUCAUAUUUAAUAAUGAAUUUUGAUAAUACUAGAAUUGUUGUUCAGGUGAGCGAUGUUAGCCAUGGGUCUUCUGUUUAUUGUAAAAUUCAUAAAAACAUUAAAUGGCGAUAUAUUGUAAUAUUUUAUGAUUUUAUGUAUGUUUUGACUUCAUUUAAGUCAAAAAUAUUUAACAUGUAGUUGUUUAUCAUGAUUUGAAUUUAGACAAAUUAUAUAAUGCAUUUUUUGCUUUAGGUUUGUUUUAUCAAUGGUUUUUGCCACUGAAUUUUA
Magallana angulata is the source of this 1715-nucleotide long non-coding RNA. RefSeq lists it as uncharacterized. The transcript has 3 exons. Lineage: Eukaryota; Metazoa; Mollusca; Bivalvia; Ostreida; Ostreidae. The record is from RefSeq and is a predicted model, not a curated record.